AUACAACGCACUCUUGUGGAAAAAAAUACAUUUAUAAUAAAUGCUUAUCUGAAGAAGCUCCGUCAAAGUGAAAAAUAUGCCUUCCACGAACUCUAAAGAUGUCAGAGUACAUUUUGUCUGUUCUAUUUCAUUCGUAGUGACCGUCAAAGGCAGUGCUUUAAACUGAAUAUCUUGCAUCUCGGGCCAAGGUCAAGUAUAUACAGUAUAUCACAAUGUCAACUGUAACUUUGGGGUGACUUUGUCACACCAACGUAAGAAGCCCCGGACUGGUUGACACUCUGUUCCCUCUCUGAAGAGGAACAGCUUAUCGCAGCCUUUGGAGGGCGAAGAAUUUGCAACUUCGAGCGUAAGAUUGCAGUGCUACGAGCGGCGAGCUUCAAGCAGACUUGCAGUAUACAGGUUUAGACAAAGCUGAUGCUACCACAGAUGGCAGACAACCUGCAAAGCGAGAAGAU
Molecule: long non-coding RNA, 455 nt
Organism: Sander lucioperca (pikeperch)
Lineage: Eukaryota; Metazoa; Chordata; Actinopteri; Perciformes; Percidae
Exons: 2
Source: RefSeq, a predicted model, not a curated record